This 958-nucleotide ribosomal RNA is filed under the name uncultured Bacillota bacterium. RNAcentral's name for it is "bacterial SSU rRNA". It matches the Rfam family "Bacterial small subunit ribosomal RNA", at positions 1 to 917 of the family's 1533-position model. Lineage: Bacteria; Bacillati; Bacillota. The record is from RNAcentral.
UGGAUCCAGACUUUGAUCAUGGCUCAGGACGAACGCUGGCGGCAUGCCUAACACAUGCAAGUCGAACGGAGUUGUUAUACAGAAGUUCUUCGGGAUGGAAGUAUAAGAACUUAGUGGCGGACGGGUGAGUAACGCGUGGGUAACCUGCCCUUUUGUGGGGAACAACUUCGAGAAAUCGGAGCUAAUAUCGCAUAAUAAUAGAGAAUCGCAUGAUUCUUUAAGGAAAGAUGGCCUCUGAGAAUGCUAUCGCAAAAGGAUGGACCCGCGUCUGAUUAGCUAGUUGGAAGGGUAACGGCCUACCAAGGCGACGAUCAGUAGCCGGCCUGAGAGGGUGAACGGCCACAUUGGGACUGAGACACGGCCCAAACUCCUACGGGAGGCAGCAGUGGGGAAUCUUCCGCAAUGGGCGAAAGCCUGACGGAGCAAUGCCGCGUGAGUGAAGAAGGCCUUCGGGUUGUAAAACUCUGUCCUUAUCGAAGAGAGGUGGGUAUGUGAAUAAUGUACCUAUAGGACGGUAGAUAAGGAGGAAGCCCCGGCUAACUACGUGCCAGCAGCCGCGGUAAUACGUAGGGGGCGAGCGUUGUCCGGAAUCACUGGGCGUAAAGGGCGCGUAGGCGGUUUAAUAAGUCAGUGGUGAAAACUGAGGGCUCAACCCUCAGCCUGCCACUGAUACUGUUAGACUUGAGUAUGGAAGAGGAGAAUGGAAUUCCUAGUGUAGCGGUGAAAUGCGUAGAUAUUAGGAGGAACACCAGUGGCGAAGGCGAUUCUCUGGGCCAAGACUGACGCUGAGGCGCGAAAGCGUGGGGAGCAAACAGGAUUAGAUACCCUGGUAGUCCACGCCGUAAACGAUGGAUUCUAGGUGUUAGUAGUUUCGAUGCUACUAGUGCCGGAGUAAACACAAUAAGUAUCCCGCCUGGGGAGUACGGUCGCAAGACUGCAACUCAAAUGAAUUGACGGA